UUUCAGAUGCCCACUAAGAAGUAAGUCCACAAGGCAAUGGAACUUUUCUGUUCUGUUUACUGCUACAUCCCUUGCAACUGGAACAGCACUUGGAACAUGACAAGAGUUCAGUAAAUGAAUGCUACUUCAAGGGAUAGAAGCAAGAGGAGAGUCAGUUCCCCAACUGAGAGCUCCAUUCCCACCAGAUAAGGAAAAGGAUCCUCACAACUGAAGAGAGUCCCCGUGAUUCUGUUUGCUUUCUCUCCAAAGGGCUGCAGAGAAGGAGUGGAAAAGAAUGUAAAUUCCUAACCCCACAUAUAGCUCAAGUGUGGAAGUGUAUA
Molecule: long non-coding RNA, 320 nt
Organism: Talpa occidentalis (Iberian mole)
Lineage: Eukaryota; Metazoa; Chordata; Mammalia; Eulipotyphla; Talpidae
Exons: 3
Source: RefSeq, a predicted model, not a curated record